RNAcentral lists this ribosomal RNA (492 nucleotides) under uncultured bacterium. RNAcentral describes it as "partial 16S ribosomal RNA". It matches the Rfam family "Bacterial small subunit ribosomal RNA", at positions 29 to 507 of the family's 1533-position model. The record is from RNAcentral.
AGUGAACGCUGGCGGUAGGCCUAACACAUGCAAGUCGAACGGCAGCACAGUAAGAGCUUGCUCUUACGGGUGGCGAGUGGCGGACGGGUGAGGAAUACAUCGGAAUCUGCUUUUUCGUGGGGGAUAACGUAGGGAAACUUACGCUAAUACCGCAUACGACCUACGGGCGAAAGCAGGGGAUCUUCGGACCUUGCGCGAUUGAAUGAGCCGAUGUCGGAUUAGCUAGUUGGCGGGGUAAAGGCCCACCAAGGCGACGAUCCGUAGCUGGUCUGAGAGGAUGAUCAGCCACACUGGAACUGAGACACGGUCCAGACUCCUACGGGAGGCAGCAGUGGGGAAUAUUGGACAAUGGGCGCAAGCCUGAUCCAGCCAUACCGCGUGGGUGAAGAAGGCCUUCGGGUUGUAAAGCCCUUUUGUUGGGAAAGAAAAGCAGCAGGUUAAUACCCCGCUGUUCUGACGGUACCCAAAGAAUAAGCACCGGCUAACUUCGUG